RNAcentral lists this ribosomal RNA (825 nucleotides) under uncultured Clavulina. RNAcentral's name for it is "eukaryotic LSU rRNA". The stretch from base 218 to 371 matches the Rfam family "5.8S ribosomal RNA". The record is from RNAcentral. Lineage: Eukaryota; Fungi; Basidiomycota; Agaricomycetes; Cantharellales; Hydnaceae.
UCCGUAGGUGAACCUGCGGAAGGAUCAUUAAUGGAUUGUAAUGGGGGUUGAUGCUGGUGGCCAUUUCUUUGGCUGCAUUGUGCUCACUUCUAGCAAUUAUUUGUCCAAACACUUGUGCGCCUUUCGAGGGUUUUCCAAUCUUGGAUUUCCCUCUCACAUACACUCAUUUAUAAUAUUGAACGUGUUUGUGCCAUGCAGUGGCCAUAAUAUAUAAUACAACUUUUAACAACGGAUCUCUUGGCUCUCGCAUCGAUGAAGAACGCAGCGAAAUGCGAUAAGUAAUGUGAAUUGCAGAAUUCAGUGAAUCAUCGAAUCUUUGAACGCACCUUGCGCUCCCCGGUAUUCCAGGGAGCACACCUGUUCGAGUGUCGUGAAAUUCUCAAGCUGGAUGAUUUUUUCAUCUCAGUUUGGUUUUGGGCUUUGCCGUGACCCCCUUCAUUGGGACGGCUGGCCUUAAAAAUAUUAGCUGACUCUCAUGUGAGAUUGGUUCUACUCAGCGUGAUAACUCUGACCGCUGACGACAUCUUUUAUUGGAUGGCCGAGCUCUAUGUUGGGUUGCUUCUAAUCCUGGUUUUUACAGAUUUUCGGAUCUGUUUUCCACUCACGAUUUUGGCCUCGAAUCAUGUGGGACUACCCGCUGAACUUAAGCAUAUCAAUAAGCGAAGGAAAAGAAACUAACAAGGAUACACCUAGUAACGACGACUGAAGCCGGGAAAAGCGCCGAUUUGCAUGCUGUUAUCCUUAGGCUCCCCCCACCUGACUAGAAAAGAAGAAAUUUCACGUGCAGGACUGAAGUGCGACGAAACCUGGACAGGGCUACUUCGU